This 537-nucleotide ribosomal RNA is filed under the name Actinomycetota bacterium. RNAcentral's name for it is "partial 23S ribosomal RNA". It matches the Rfam family "Bacterial large subunit ribosomal RNA", at positions 2594 to 2925 of the family's 2925-position model. Lineage: Bacteria; Bacillati; Actinomycetota. The record is from RNAcentral.
GGGCAAGCACCUGAGCUUGGAAGGCUUCCGGUCCCUUCGGGACGAGGCCUGCUCCAUGAAUGGAGGAGGCAGAUACCGAAGGAUCCACCGGAUGGAGGCAUCCAGAAUCCUCAGAGACCAUAUGCCGAACACAAUUAGCUAGGAGAUUGUGAAGAUAUGGUCCGACCUGCAUGGCGACAUGCAGAGCCAGGCAGAAAUGACCUGGCCCCCGAUCACUUGCAGAUCGGCGGUAACAAAUGUGUCGGUCCCUAUCCUCCGCGGGCGUAGGAGACUUGAGGAGAGCUGUCCCUAGUACGAGAGGACCGGGACGGACGCAUCUCUAGUGUGACAGUUGUUCUGCCAAGGGCACGCUGUUUAGCUACAUGCGGAUCGGAUAAGCGCUGAAAGCAUCUAAGUGCGAAGCCGACUCCAAGAUUAGGUCUCCCACCGGGUUAACCGGGUAAGGCCCCUUGCUAGACGACAAGGUUGAUAGGCCGGAGCUGUAAGCACAGCAAUGUGUUCAGGCGACCGGUACUAAUAGGCCGAGGGCUUGGUUUU